CUGGGCUGCAGUAGUCGGGGUGCGCGCGAGCAGGCGCUGCCAGCCUGCUUCUGCCCGGCAGUCGGGUCCCAGGAGCGGACGGACCCGGCGCCCGCGUCCUCUCUGCCUCCUCCUCCUUCCUGCUCUCACCUGCGCCUGUUAGCCCCCUCGCCUUCAAGGCCAGGGGCUACAGCCCAGACUGAGGGGGACAGCAGAAAGAGAGAGAGCACCUGAGGAUACAGAGCUGACACUGGACUGCCCUUUUCACCCCCAGGUGAUGAGUGAGGUCGGAAGAUCGCAAGAUUUAAAAAGCAUCUGGAGUCUCCGUAUUGAAAGACCCAGUGCGAAGGCAUCACCAUGAACACGAGCAUUCCUUAUCAGCAGAAUCCUUACAAUCCCCGGGGCAGCUCCAGUGUCAUCCAGUGCUAUCGAUGUGGAGACACCUGCAAAGGGGAGGUGGUUCGCGUCCACAAUAACCAUUUCCACAUCAGAUGCUUCACCUGUCAAGUGUGUGGCUGUGGCCUGGCUCAGUCAGGCUUCUUCUUCAAGAACCAGGAGUACAUCUGCACCCAGGACUACCAGCAACUCUACGGCACCCGCUGUGACAGCUGCCGGGACUUUAUCACGGGCGAGGUCAUCUCUGCGCUGGGCCGCACCUACCACCCCAAGUGCUUCGUGUGCAGCUUGUGCAGGAAGCCCUUCCCCAUUGGAGACAAGGUGACCUUCAGUGGGAAGGAAUGUUUGUGUCAGACAUGCUCCCAGUCCAUGACGAGCAGUAAGCCCAUCAAGAUCCGUGGACCAAGCCACUGCGCUGGGUGCAAGGAGGAAAUCAAGCACGGCCAGUCACUCCUGGCUCUGGACAAGCAGUGGCACGUCAGCUGCUUCAAAUGCCAGACCUGCAGCAUCAUCCUCACCGGGGAGUACAUCAGCAAGGAUGGCGUUCCAUACUGCGAGUCUGACUACCACUCCCAGUUUGGCAUUAAGUGCGAGACUUGUGACCGAUACAUCAGCGGCAGGGUCUUGGAGGCAGGAGGGAAGCACUACCACCCAAGCUGUGCCAGAUGUGUACGCUGCCACCAGAUGUUCACCGAAGGAGAGGAGAUGUACCUCACAGGCUCUGAGGUUUGGCACCCCAUCUGCAAACAGGCAGCCCGGGCAGAGAAGAAGUUAAAGCAUAGGCGGACGUCUGAAACUUCCAUCUCACCCCCUGGAUCUAGCAUCGGGUCACCCAACCGAGUCAUCUGCGCUAAAGUGGAUAAUGAGAUCCUUAAUUACAAAGACCUGGCAGCUCUCCCCAAGGUUAAGUCCAUCUACGAGGUACAACGCCCCGACCUCAUUUCCUACGAGCCUCAUUCCAGAUACACGUCCGACGAGAUGCUGGAGAGGUGUGGCUAUGGAGAGGACAUCUAUGAGAACCUGGACCUCCGGCAGAGACGGGCCUCUAGCCCAGGAUACAUCGACUCCCCCACCUACAGCCGGCAGGGCAUGUCCCCCACCUUCUCUCGCUCUCCUCAUCACUAUUACCGCUCCGCUGGAGAAAGUAACAUCUACCGGAAGCCCCCGAUCUACAAACGGCAUGGUGAUUUGUCGACAGCAACCAAGAGCAAAACAAGUGAAGACAUCAGUCAGGCCUCCAAGUACAGUCCAGCCUACUCGCCAGACCCCUACUAUGCUGCGGAGUCUGAGUACUGGACCUACCAUGGGUCCCCCAAAGUGCCCCGAGCCAGAAGGUUCUCAUCUGGAGGAGAGGAGGACGAUUUUGACCGCAGCAUGCACAAGCUCCAGAGUGGAAUUGGCCGACUAAUUCUGAAGGAAGAGAUGAAGGCCCGGUCCAGUUCCUACGCGGAUCCCUGGACCCCACCCCGGAGCUCCACCAGCAGCCGAGAGGCCCUGCACACAGCUGGCUAUGAUAUGUCCCUAAAUGGCUACCCCCUCAUCUCCAAAUCUGCCUCCCUGCCUGCCUACAGAAGAAACGGGCUGCACAGGACACCCAGCGCAGACCUAUUCCAUUACGACAGCAUGAACGCUGUCAACUGGGGCAUGCGAGAGUACAAGGUAAAGAUACACAGACCCUGGGGGUCUCCGGGACCCUGCAUGUUGCUACACUGGGGACCAGCAGGAAGAUGACAGCACUGUCUAUGCAGGGAAGGGAACAUCGAUAAAUAACCCCAAGGGUCCUCUCAAGACUAGCAUUUCCAGUCCCUCCUUGGCCCAGUUUCCCUGAAUCCUGCCCUACAUCUCUUGCCUCCUGAAACCAGACAGUUCCCCCGGGCCUCGGAGACUCUCCAGAGGCUUUUGCCAAUCACAGAUAUGAGACAUUUACACUCAGGAGCCCUUGUGCUCUCAUUAAGGCCAAAUGCAACCAAGCUCAUCCCUGGCAGUAUUCAAGGACUCCAGGGCCUUGCCUUUUGGGAGAAGGUGGCUUGAGGCUGCCAAGAAACCCGAAUGAGGACAUACUCAGCCCUUCCUCCAGACUUUAAUCUCUGGCUCUUUCUGGACAGAGGAGAGAGCCCCAGCCAGACACAAAAUAUGUCUGAAGGGACAAGCCCACCACCCUCACCCAACCUACAAAUAUCCCCCCUCCUCUCUUCUUAGAUCUACCCUUAUGAACUGCUCCUGGUGACCACAAGAGGGAGAAACCGACUGCCCAAGGAUGUGGAUCGGACACGUUUAGAGCGCCACCUGUCCCAGGAAGAGUUCUACCAAGUCUUCGGCAUGACCAUCUCUGAGUUUGACCGGCUGGCCCUCUGGAAGAGGAAUGAACUGAAGAAGCAAGCCCGGCUGUUCUAGGCAGAAGCUCUAUAAAUAUAUAUGCAUUUAUAUAAAGAUA
This is an RNA transcript of Physeter macrocephalus (sperm whale), 2809 nucleotides long. It is a transcript of the gene named actin binding LIM protein family member 3, with no coding region annotated. The transcript has 19 exons. The record is from RefSeq and is a predicted model, not a curated record. NCBI's taxonomy places the organism in Eukaryota, Metazoa, Chordata, Mammalia, Artiodactyla, Physeteridae.